This 508-nucleotide ribosomal RNA is filed under the name uncultured bacterium. Its description in RNAcentral is "partial 16S ribosomal RNA". It matches the Rfam family "Bacterial small subunit ribosomal RNA", at positions 28 to 523 of the family's 1533-position model. The record is from RNAcentral.
GAUGAACGCUAGCUACAGGCUUAACACAUGCAAGUCGAGGGGAAACGACAUCGAAAGCUUGCUUUUGAUGGGCGUCGACCGGCGCACGGGUGAGUAACGCGUAUCCAACCUGCCCACCACUUGGGGAUAACCUUGCGAAAGUAAGACUAAUACCCAAUGAUAUCUCUAGAAGACAUCUGAAAGAGAUUAAAGAUUUAUCGGAGAUGGAUUGGGUUGCGUAUGAUUAGCUUGUUGGCAGGGUAACGGCCCACCAAGGCUACGAUCAGUAGGGGUACUGAGAGGAAGGUCCCCCACAUUGGAACUGAGACACGGUCCAAACUCCUACGGGAGGAAGAAGUGAGGAAUAUUGGUCAAUGGGCGAGAGCCUGAACCAGCCAAGUAGCGUGCAGGAUGACGGCCCUAUGGGUUGUAAACUGCUUUUAUAAGGGAAUAAAGUGAGCCUCGUGAGGCUUUUUGCAUGUACCUUAUGAAUAAGGACCGGCUAAUUCCGUGCCAGCCGCCGCCGUAA